CCUACGGGGGGCUGCAGUGGGGAAUAUUGGACAAUGGGGGCAACCCUGAUCCAGCCAUGCUGCGUGUGUGAAGAAGGCCCUCGGGUUGUAAAGCACUUUCAGUGAGGAAGAACGCCUGGUGGUUAAUACCCAUCAGGAAAGACAUCACUCACAGAAGAAGCACCGGCUAACUCCGUGCCAGCAGCCGCGGUAAUACGGAGGGUGCGAGCGUUAAUCGGAAUUACUGGGCGUAAAGCGCGCGUAGGUGGCUUGAUAAGCCGGUUGUGAAAGCCCCGGGCUCAACCUGGGAACGGCAUCCGGAACUGUCAAGCUAGAGUGCAGGAGAGGAAGGUAGAAUUCCCGGUGUAGCGGUGAAAUGCGUAGAGAUCGGGAGGAAUACCAGUGGCGAAGGCGGCCUUCUGGACUGACACUGACACUGAGGUGCGAAAGCGUGGGUAGCAAACAGGAUUAGAUACCCUGGUAGUC
Molecule: ribosomal RNA, 465 nt
Filed under: Vreelandella stevensii
Lineage: Bacteria; Pseudomonadati; Pseudomonadota; Gammaproteobacteria; Oceanospirillales; Halomonadaceae
Description: partial 16S ribosomal RNA
Rfam family: Bacterial small subunit ribosomal RNA
Source: RNAcentral